RNAcentral lists this unclassified non-coding RNA (171 nucleotides) under uncultured fungus. Its description in RNAcentral is "sequence contains ITS1". The record is from RNAcentral. Lineage: Eukaryota; Fungi.
UUGUUUAUAUUUAUGCUCCGUUAAAGAGACUAUUACAUUCUUAGACUUAUGCGUUAAAAUUGGUGUAAAGUAGUUUGUGCACGGUGUAAAGGUAAAUGUAAUUGGUCGGACCUCUAAAAAGAACGCCCUUGAAUUCCAUUAAUGAUCCUUCCGCAGGUUCACCUACGGAAA